Molecule: long non-coding RNA, 883 nt
Organism: Apis dorsata (giant honeybee)
Lineage: Eukaryota; Metazoa; Arthropoda; Insecta; Hymenoptera; Apidae
Exons: 2
Source: RefSeq, a predicted model, not a curated record
UAGAAUUUGAUAAAACUGAAAACAUUAUUAAAAGAAAAAAAAUUUGAUUUUUAUUGAAUCUAUUCAUUUAUGAUCAUUCAAAUAGAUCAUAAAAAGUAAUUUUAAUUAUAAUGUAUUAUCACAUGAAAAAAGUUUAUAAUUUGAUAAAGAGUGAUGAAGAUUUCUCUGUAUUAACAAUUUGAGCGGUUUUUUUAUUAUAAAGAAUUUCUUAUUAUACUAUCAUUAUGUAACUUUAAAUUGGAGAACGAAAGUUGUGGGAGUGGAGAAGUGCGAUAUAGAUUAACAUUACGAGCCAGUCGAGUCCACUUUCUCGCAUUAAGAACCAAGCUUACAAACACGCACAUAGUGGCUAUUAAUUAAGUCCAAAUUUAUUUCAAAUUAAUAAUUAUAGAAAACGCAUUUAAUAAUUCAGAAUUAAAAAGCUAAUAUAGCUAGACUAUGAAAAUUAGUAGAUUUAUACUAAUUCAAUACUUGUUGCUGUCUGAUUAAACUUAAAUGAUGUUUGAAAUCUUGAUGAUUUUCAAAAUACAUGUAAAAUAAUCAAUUUAUUGAUGAAGAAACUAAUUCAUAAAAUCAUAAUGAUGAUUUCUAGUUUGCUAAAUUAUUAAUGGUAAUGUUACCUUCACUUGAAUUGACUAAUGAAUGUUGCAAAAGAAGAGUGGCUGAAGAAACUAUUUCUUUUUUACUUAGUCCAAAGUAAAAGUAAAAAUUGCUUACUGACAAGCAAAGACUUCAAACGUUGAAAAAAAAAUGAGGAAAAAGAUUUUUAUUUCCUCAAAGAAGUGUUACAAAUGGAAUGUUUGCAUAAUUCUUGGCAUAGGACUAAAUCAGGAAAAAUUCAUAUUAUGAAAAGAGGAAAUCCUUGUCUAAACAACUUGUAUAA